This 478-nucleotide ribosomal RNA is filed under the name uncultured bacterium. RNAcentral describes it as "bacterial SSU rRNA". It matches the Rfam family "Bacterial small subunit ribosomal RNA", at positions 41 to 507 of the family's 1533-position model. The record is from RNAcentral.
GGCAUGCUUAACACAUGCAAGUCGAACGGCAGCAUAACCUGCUUGCAGGUUGAUGGCGAGUGGCGAACGGGUGAGUAACGCGUAGAGAUCUGCCCUGAAGUGGGGGGCAACCCGGGGGAAACUCGGGCUAAUACCGCAUAAUCUUUUAGAAGAAAAGUGUGCCUCUGCUUGCAAGCACAUGCUUCAGGAUGAACCUGCGUCCGAUUAGCUAGUUGGUGGGGUAAAGGCCUACCAAGGCGACGAUCGGUAGCUGGUCUGAGAGGAUGAUCAGCCACACUGGGACUGAGACACGGCCCAGACUCCUACGGGAGGCAGCAGUGGGGAAUAUUGGACAAUGGGGGCAACCCUGAUCCAGCAAUGCCGCGUGUGUGAAGAAGGCCUGCGGGUUGUAAAGCACUUUCGUUGGGGAGGAGAAGCUCAUUGGGAUAAGCAAUGAGUGGAGACGUUACCCAAAUAAGAAGCACCGGCUAACUCUGUG